RNAcentral lists this ribosomal RNA (497 nucleotides) under uncultured bacterium. RNAcentral describes it as "partial 16S ribosomal RNA". It matches the Rfam family "Bacterial small subunit ribosomal RNA", at positions 28 to 507 of the family's 1533-position model. The record is from RNAcentral.
GAUGAACGCUGACGGCGUGCCUAAUACAUGCAAGUCGAGCGAACGGACGAGAAGCUUGCUUCUCUGAUGUUAGCGGCGGACGGGUGAGUAACACGUGGAUAACCUACCUAUAAGACUGGGAUAACUUCGGGAAACCGGAGCUAAUACCGGAUAAUAUUUUGAACCGCAUGGUUCAAAAGUGAAAGACGGUCUUGCUGUCACUUAUAGAUGGAUCCGCGCUGCAUUAGCUAGUUGGUAAGGUAACGGCUUACCAAGGCAACGAUGCAUAGCCGACCUGAGAGGGUGAUCGGCCACACUGGAACUGAGACACGGUCCAGACUCCUACGGGAGGCAGCAGUAGGGAAUCUUCCGCAAUGGGCGAAAGCCUGACGGAGCAACGCCGCGUGAGUGAUGAAGGCCUUCGGAUCGUAAAACUCUGUUAUUAGGGAAGAACAUAUGUGUAAGUAACUGUGCACAUCUUGACGGUACCUAAUCAGAAAGCCACGGCUAACUACGUG